This is a long non-coding RNA of Pyrus x bretschneideri (Chinese white pear), 650 nucleotides long. RefSeq lists it as uncharacterized. The transcript is spliced from 2 exons. The record is from RefSeq and is a predicted model, not a curated record. Lineage: Eukaryota; Viridiplantae; Streptophyta; Magnoliopsida; Rosales; Rosaceae.
AGUAAUACCGUGCAAAUGCACGGUACAAAUUAGUCGGGCUUCGGUUGGAAAGAGCAGUCUUCCUUACCAUCUCUUCCUCUACAGGCGCUCUCCAGUGCUCUCCAGGUGCUUUUUCUUCCUCUCCAGGCACUCUCUUUUCCUCUCAUCCCAGAUUUCUGAAUCAGUUGAUAAGUUGGGUGAAGUUUUACAAGUUGCUUUUGGGAAAGGAGUGGAUCCAAAACCUGAGAUUGUUUCAGAAUUGUCAAAGAUGGAUUUGUCUAUUGAGGAUCAAAUCAAGGUACUAAAUAUCCCUUUCGAAAAGCCACAGAAUGAGAGGACAUUCUCGUCUUUGGAUGGUGCAAUGAAAAAAGCCUUUGUACUCAUGUUACUUGGACAAAGUAACCCCAAUUGACAUUUCAAACCAACAACAAUAUAUUUUGUUAAAAGUUGUAGCAUGCAUAUAUUUUGUUAAAAGUAGCAUGCAUAUAUUUUGGCUAUCUGGACAAACUGUUUCUUACUGAAACCACCUUGCAUUUGUAUAUUUUAUGAACUUGGAUAUGUGGUUGGAUUAUAUAUCGUAACGAUUGUAGUUGUUUUUUGUGAACCUUUUUUUUAUGUUAUUAGAAAAUAUUUUGAAUUUGAUGUAUGAAAUUUACUAUUUUUCUUUGUUA